RNAcentral lists this ribosomal RNA (253 nucleotides) under uncultured bacterium. RNAcentral's name for it is "partial 16S ribosomal RNA". It matches the Rfam family "Bacterial small subunit ribosomal RNA", at positions 524 to 776 of the family's 1533-position model. The record is from RNAcentral.
UACGGGGGGUGCAAGCGUUAUUCGGAAUCACUGGGCGUAAAGCGCGCGCAGGCGGCCGUUUAAGUCAGAUGUGAAAGCCCGGGGCUCAACUCCGGAAGUGCAUUUGAUACUAUUCGGCUUGAGUAUGGGAGAGGGAAGUGGAAUUCCUGGUGUAGAGGUGAAAUUCGUAGAUAUCAGGAGGAACACCGGUGGCGAAGGCGACUUCCUGGACCAAUACUGACGCUGAGGCGCGAAGGCGUGGGGAGCAAACAGG